AUUGAACGCUGGCGGCAGGCUUAACACAUGCAAGUCGAACGAGUGGCGGACGGGUGAGUAAUGCUUGGGAAUCUAGCUUCUGGAGGGGGAUCACUACGAGAAACUUUAGCUAAUACCGCGUACCAUAGGAUGAGCCCAAGUGGGAUUAGGUAGUUGGUGAGGUAAAGGCUCACCAAGGCGAAGAACUCUAGCUGGUCUGAGAGGAUGACCAGCCACACUGGGACUGAGACACGGCCCAGACUCCUACGGGAGGCAGCAGUGGGGAAUAUUGCGCAAUGGGGGCAACCUGACGCAGCCAUGCCGCGUGAAUGAAGAAGGCCGUCGGGUGGUAAAGUUCUUUCGGUAGCGAGGCGUUAACUACAGAAGAAGCACCGGCUAACUCCGUGCCAGCAGCCGCGGUAAUAC
This 405-nucleotide ribosomal RNA is filed under the name uncultured bacterium. RNAcentral's name for it is "partial 16S ribosomal RNA". It matches the Rfam family "Bacterial small subunit ribosomal RNA", at positions 30 to 526 of the family's 1533-position model. The record is from RNAcentral.